This 255-nucleotide ribosomal RNA is filed under the name uncultured bacterium. RNAcentral's name for it is "partial 16S ribosomal RNA". It matches the Rfam family "Bacterial small subunit ribosomal RNA", at positions 524 to 777 of the family's 1533-position model. The record is from RNAcentral.
UACGUAGGUGGCGAGCGUUUGUCCGGAUUUAUUGGGUUUAAAGGGCUCGUAGGCGGUUUGUCGCGUCGGGAGUGAAAUCCACUGGCUUAACUGGUGGCUUGCUUUCGAUACGGGCAGACUGGAGGUAUGCAGGGGAGACUGGAAUUCCUGGUGUAGCGGUGAAAUGCGCAGAUAUCAGGAGGAACACCGGUGGCGAAGGCGGGUCUCUGGGCCGUAACUGACGCUGAUGCACGAAAGUGUGGGGAUCAAAGCAGG